This 437-nucleotide ribosomal RNA is filed under the name Calliptamus madeirae. RNAcentral's name for it is "partial small subunit ribosomal RNA". It matches the Rfam family "Microsporidia small subunit ribosomal RNA", at positions 752 to 1263 of the family's 1311-position model. Lineage: Eukaryota; Metazoa; Arthropoda; Insecta; Orthoptera; Acrididae. The record is from RNAcentral.
UAUUAUUUUAAGUGUUAAUUUUGCUUACCAGGGUACUGUUAGUUAAGGUCUUUAAACCCAAAGAAUUUGGCGGUAUCUCAUUCCAUUCAGAGGAACCUACCCCGUGAUUGAUAGUACACGAUUGACUUUACUUAAUUUAUUUGUUUGUAUAUCUCCGUUAUCAGAGAAUCUUUUUAGAGUUAUAAUUUUCUUGAUUUAUAAUUAUAAAAUAUUUCAGGUCAAGGUGCAGCUUAUAAUUAAGAGGAGGUGGGUUACAAUAGAUUUUUGUUUAUUACGGAUUUGUUGGUGAAAACUGUCAAUGAAGGUGGAUUUGAUAGUAAUUUAAUUUAUUUAAUUUAAUUGAUAUUGGCCCUGAGGUGUGUACACAUCGCCCGUCACUCUCAUUAUUGAUCAUUAUACUUAAAAUUUUUUGGUAAGGUAUGUUCAAAUUAGAUGAG